GAUGAACGCUGGCGGCGUGCCUAAUACAUGCAAGUCGAGCGAACAGACGAGGAGCUUGCUCCUCUGACGUUAGCGGCGGACGGGUGAGUAACACGUGGAUAACCUACCUAUAAGACUGGGAUAACUUCGGGAAACCGGAGCUAAUACCGGAUAACAUGUUAAACCGCAUGGUUCAACAGUGAAAGACGGUUUUGCUGUCACUUAUAGAUGGAUCCGCGUCGCAUUAGCUAGUUGGUAAGGUAACGGCUUACCAAGGCAACGAUGCGUAGCCGACCUGAGAGGGUGAUCGGCCACACUGGAACUGAGACACGGUCCAGACUCCUACGGGAGGCAGCAGUAGGGAAUCUUCCGCAAUGGGCGAAAGCCUGACGGAGCAACGCCGCGUGAGUGAAGAAGGUCUUCGGAUCGUAAAACUCUGUUAUUAGGGAAGAACAAAUGUGUAAGUAACUAUGCACGUCUUGACGGUACCUAAUCAGAAAGCCACGGCUAACUACGUG
RNAcentral lists this ribosomal RNA (497 nucleotides) under uncultured bacterium. RNAcentral describes it as "partial 16S ribosomal RNA". It matches the Rfam family "Bacterial small subunit ribosomal RNA", at positions 28 to 507 of the family's 1533-position model. The record is from RNAcentral.